GAUGAACGCUGGCGGCGUGCUUAAUACAUGCAAGUCGAGCGAACAGAUGAGGCGCUUGCUCCUCUGACGUUAGCGGCGGACGGGUGAGUAACACGUGGAUAACCUACCUAUAAGACUGGGAUAACUUCGGGAAACCGGAGCUAAUACCGGAUAAUAUAUUGAUCCGCAUGGUUCAAUAGUGAAAGACGGCUUUGCUGGCACUUAUAGAUGGAUCCGCGCCGCAUUAGCUAGUUGGUAAGGUAACGGCUUACCAAGGCAACGACGCGUAGCCGACCUGCUGGGGUGGUAGGCCACACGGGAGCUGAGACGCGGUCCUGGCUCCUACGGUAGGCACCAGUCUGGAAUCGUCCGCAAUGGGCGAAAGCCUUGCGGAGCAGCGCCACGUGAGUGAUGAAGGUCUUCGGAUCGUAAUGCUCUGUUAUGAGGUAAGAACAGAUUUGUAAGUAGCUGUGCACGUCUUGACGGUACCUGAUCAGAAAGCCACGGCUAACUACGUG
This 497-nucleotide ribosomal RNA is filed under the name uncultured bacterium. RNAcentral's name for it is "partial 16S ribosomal RNA". It matches the Rfam family "Bacterial small subunit ribosomal RNA", at positions 28 to 507 of the family's 1533-position model. The record is from RNAcentral.